Molecule: long non-coding RNA, 735 nt
Organism: Oxyura jamaicensis (ruddy duck)
Lineage: Eukaryota; Metazoa; Chordata; Aves; Anseriformes; Anatidae
Exons: 2
Source: RefSeq, a predicted model, not a curated record
CCCAGCACAAAACAUCUUCCCCAGCCUCACUGCUGCACUCCUACACACGUGAUAAGGAAAUGAGUAGUCCUCUGUACAGUAAUUUCCUCUACGCCGCAGAGUUUCAACACAAUUGUCCUUCAAGUGCCGAUAAAUUGCCAGUAUGACAGGUGCAGGAAGUCUGCUCUGACCUUCCUGAAAUGAUGUCAGACUACAGUGGUGGCAACAUGAAGGUUCUGAACUAGGUUAACUUGGGAUUCAUAAUCUUUCACUUGUGGGCAGAUCCACCCAACCCCACAGUCCUGCCAGCUGGAAUUUCCAGGAUGUGCCUGAAUGCUCCAAAGCACACAAACAUAUGAUGAAAUCCAGAAGUACGGGCACUACAGACUGAGCCUCUCCCAUAUCCUUAAGAUCAUGCAACAUCAAUAAAAUGAAACACUACUGGUCAGAAUUUUCACCUCCAGUGUUCCAUGCCUAAUUAUGUGAUUUUAAGAUGUUACUACCCCUGGAAGAAGCAUAAAGCCCAGAAGAAAGCGAGGAGAGGAAAUUUAGAUCUAUCAGUAUUAGCAAGAGGAGGGGGGGGGGGGGGGGAAGUAAAUCACCACAAACCCAAUUAUGCCCCCAAGUUUAGCAGCAUCCAUGAUUACAUGUAUUUAGCCAUAACAGGUACGGCUAAAUAAUAUAUAAUGUAACUUAGAAGAAGGUAAUUAAUAACUUUUGUCUCUUUGGUGUACGUGUUCUACAAGGAGAUUAAAA